UAUUCCCCACUGCUGCCUCCCGUAGAAGUUUGGACCGUGUCUCAGUUCCAAUGUGGCCGAUCACCCUCUCAGGUCGGCUACUGAUCGUCACCUUGGUGAGCCGUUACCUCACCAACUAGUUAAUCAGACGCAGGCCCAUCUCACACCGAUAAAUCUUUGACCGGAUCAACAUGUGUUGUUCCGGUUUCAUGAGGUAUUAUUCAUCGUUUCCAAUGGCUAUCCCUCUGUGUGAGGCAGGUUGCCUACGCGUUACUCACCCGUCCGCCGCUGUCCAUUCUCUAAAUCCUCCGAAGAUUCAUUAAAGAAUUUCUCGCUCGACUUGCAUGUAUUAGGCACGCCGCCAGCGUUCAUCCUGAGCCAAA
Molecule: ribosomal RNA, 362 nt
Filed under: uncultured rumen bacterium
Lineage: Bacteria
Description: partial 16S ribosomal RNA
Source: RNAcentral